GGAUUAACGCUGGCGGCGUGCCUAAUACAUGCAAGUCGAGCGAACGGACGAGAAGCUUGCUUCUCUGAUGUUAGCGGCGGACGGGUGAGUAACACGUGGAUAACCUACCUAUAAGACUGGGAUAACUUCGGGAAACCGGAGCUAAUACCGGAUAAUAUUUUGAACCGCAUGGUUCAAAAGUGAAAGACGGUCUUGCUGUCACUUAUAGAUGGAUCCGCGCUGCAUUAGCUAGUUGGUAAGGUAACGGCUUACCAAGGCAACGAUGCAUAGCCGACCUGAGAGGGUGAUCGGCCACACUGGAACUGAGACACGGUCCAGACUCCUACGGGAGGCAGCAGUAGGGAAUCUUCCGCAAUGGGCGAAAGCCUGACGGAGCAACGCCGCGUGAGUGAUGAAGGUCUUCGGAUCGUAAAACUCUGUUAUUAGGGAAGAACAUAUGUGUAAGUAACUGUGCACAUCUUGACGGUACCUAAUCAGAAAGCCACGGCUAACUACGUGCCAGCAGCCGCGGUAAUACGUAGGUGGCAAGCGUUAUCCGGAAUUAUUGGGCGUAAAGCGCGCGUAGGCGGUUUUUUAAGUCUGAUGUGAAAGCCCACGGCUCAACCGUGGAGGGUCAUUGGAAACUGGAAAACUUGAGUGCAGAAGAGGAAAGUGGAAUUCCAUGUGUAGCGGUGAAAUGCGCAGAGAUAUGGAGGAACACCAGUGGCGAAGGCGACUUUCUGGUCUGUAACUGACGCUGAUGUGCGAAAGCGUGGGGAUCAAACAGGAUUAGAUACCCUGGUAGUCCACGCCGUAAACGAUGAGUGCUAAGUGUUAGGGGGUUUCCGCCCCUUAGUGCUGCAGCUAACGCAUUAAGCACUCCGCCUGGGGAGUACGACCGCAAGGUUGAAACUCAAAGGAAUUGACGGGGACCCGCACAAGCGGUGGAGCAUGUGGUUUAAUUCGAAGCAACGCGAAGAACCUUACCAAAUCUUGACAUCCUUUGACAACUCUAGAGAUAGAGCCUUCCCCUUCGGGGGACAAAGUGACAGGUGGUGCAUGGUUGUCGUCAGCUCGUGUCGUGAGAUGUUGGGUUAAGUCCCGCAACGAGCGCAACCCUUAAGCUUAGUUGCCAUCAUUAAGUUGGGCACUCUAAGUUGACUGCCGGUGACAAACCGGAGGAAGGUGGGGAUGACGUCAAAUCAUCAUGCCCCUUAUGAUUUGGGCUACACACGUGCUACAAUGGACAAUACAAAGGGCAGCGAAACCGCGAGGUCAAGCAAAUCCCAUAAAGUUGUUCUCAGUUCGGAUUGUAGUCUGCAACUCGACUACAUGAAGCUGGAAUCGCUAGUAAUCGUAGAUCAGCAUGCUACGGUGAAUACGUUCCCGGGUCUUGUACACACCGCCCGUCACACCACGAGAGUUUGUAACACCCGAAGCCGGUGGAGUAACCUUUUAGGAGCUAGCCGUCGAAGGUGGGACAAAUGAUUGGGGUGAAGUCGUAACAAGGUAGCCGUAUCGGAAGGUGCGGCUGGAUCACCUCCUUUCU
This 1528-nucleotide ribosomal RNA is filed under the name Staphylococcus aureus. RNAcentral describes it as "16S ribosomal RNA". It matches the Rfam family "Bacterial small subunit ribosomal RNA". The record is from RNAcentral. Lineage: Bacteria; Bacillati; Bacillota; Bacilli; Caryophanales; Staphylococcaceae.